Molecule: ribosomal RNA, 1506 nt
Filed under: metagenome
Description: bacterial SSU rRNA
Rfam family: Bacterial small subunit ribosomal RNA
Source: RNAcentral
AGAGUUUGAUCCUGGCUCAGGACGAACGCUGGCAGCGUGCCUAAUACAUGCAAGUAGAACGCUGAAGAGAGGAGCUUGCUCUUCUUGGAUGAGUUGCGAACGGGUGAGUAACGCGUAGGUAACCUGCCUUGUAGCGGGGGAUAACUAUUGGAAACGAUAGCUAAUACCGCAUAACAAUGGAUGACCCAUGUCAUUUAUUUGAAAGGGGCAAAUGCUCCACUACAAGAUGGACCUGCGUUGUAUUAGCUAGUAGGUGAGGUAACGGCUCACCUAGGCGACGAUACAUAGCCGACCUGAGAGGGUGAUCGGCCACACUGGGACUGAGACACGGCCCAGACUCCUACGGGAGGCAGCAGUAGGGAAUCUUCGGCAAUGGGGGCAACCCUGACCGAGCAACGCCGCGUGAGUGAAGAAGGUUUUCGGAUCGUAAAGCUCUGUUGUAAGUCAAGAACGAGUGUGAGAGUGGAAAGUUCACACUGUGACGGUAGCUUACCAGAAAGGGACGGCUAACUACGUGCCAGCAGCCGCGGUAAUACGUAGGUCCCGAGCGUUGCCCGGAUUUAUUGGGCGUAAAGCGAGCGCAGGCGGUUUGAUAAGUCUGAAGUUAAAGGCUGAGGCUCAACCAUAGUUCGCUUUGGAAACUGUCAAACUUGAGUGCAGAAGGGGAGAGUGGAAUUCCAUGUGUAGCGGUGAAAUGCGUAGAUAUAUGGAGGAACACCGGUGGCGAAAGCGGCUCUCUGGUCUGUAACUGACGCUGAGGCUCGAAAGCGUGGGGAGCGAACAGGAUUAGAUACCCUGGUAGUCCACGCCGUAAACGAUGAGUGCUAGGUGUUGGAUCCUUUCCGGGAUUCAGUGCCGCAGCUAACGCAUUAAGCACUCCGCCUGGGGAGUACGACCGCAAGGUUGAAACUCAAAGGAAUUGACGGGGGCCCGCACAAGCGGUGGAGCAUGUGGUUUAAUUCGAAGCAACGCGAAGAACCUUACCAGGUCUUGACAUCCCGAUGCUAUUUCUAGAGAUAGAAAGUUACUUCGGUACAUCGGUGACAGGUGGUGCAUGGUUGUCGUCAGCUCGUGUCGUGAGAUGUUGGGUUAAGUCCCGCAACGAGCGCAACCCCUAUUGUUAGUUGCCAUCAUUCAGUUGGGCACUCUAGCGAGACUGCCGGUAAUAAACCGGAGGAAGGUGGGGAUGACGUCAAAUCAUCAUGCCCCUUAUGACCUGGGCUACACACGUGCUACAAUGGUUGGUACAACGAGUUGCGAGUCGGUGACGGCAAGCUAAUCUCUUAAAGCCAAUCUCAGUUCGGAUUGUAGGCUGCAACUCGCCUACAUGAAGUCGGAAUCGCUAGUAAUCGCGGAUCAGCACGCCGCGGUGAAUACGUUCCCGGGCCUUGUACACACCGCCCGUCACACCACGAGAGUUUGUAACACCCGAAGUCGGUGAGGUAACCUUUUGGAGCCAGCCGCCUAAGGUGGGAUAGAUGAUUGGGGUGAAGUCGUAACAAGGUA